UACAGACUCCUACGGGAGGCAGCAGUGGGGAAUAUUGCACAAUGGGGGAAACCCUGAUGCAGCGACGCCGCGUGAGCGAUGAAGUAUUUCGGUAUGUAAAGCUCUAUCAGCAGGGAAGAAAAUGACGGUACCUGACUAAGAAGCCCCGGCUAACUACGUGCCAGCAGCCGCGGUAAUACGUAGGGGGCAAGCGUUAUCCGGAUUUACUGGGUGUAAAGGGAGCGUAGACGGCUGUGCAAGCCAGAUGUGAAAGCCCGGGGCUCAACCCCGGGACUGCAUUUGGAACUGUGUGGCUGGAGUGUCGGAGAGGCAGGCGGAAUUCGUGGUGUAGCGGUGAAAUGCUUAGAUAUCACGAGGAACCCCGAUUGCGAAGGCAGCCUGCCGCAGCGUUACUGACGCUGAAGCUCGAAAGCGCGGGUAUCGAACAGGAUUAGAUACCCCCGUA
RNAcentral lists this ribosomal RNA (445 nucleotides) under uncultured bacterium. Its description in RNAcentral is "bacterial SSU rRNA". It matches the Rfam family "Bacterial small subunit ribosomal RNA", at positions 330 to 792 of the family's 1533-position model. The record is from RNAcentral.